RNAcentral lists this small nuclear RNA (107 nucleotides) under Carlito syrichta (Philippine tarsier). The record is from RNAcentral. Lineage: Eukaryota; Metazoa; Chordata; Mammalia; Primates; Tarsiidae.
UGCUCACUUUGUCGGGCCGUAUUCUGAAGUUGGGACAGUACAGAGAAGAUUAGCAUGGCCCCCUGGGUAAGGAUAAUAUGCAAAUUCAUGAAGUGUUUCAUAUUUUA